GUCUUGAUCACCUAAUUGGUAAGGUAUUACUCUUCUAAAGUAAGGAUAAUUGUUCGAAUCAAUUUCAAGAUA
Hanseniaspora opuntiae is the source of this 72-nucleotide non-coding RNA. The record is from Rfam. NCBI's taxonomy places the organism in Eukaryota, Fungi, Ascomycota, Saccharomycetes, Saccharomycodales, Saccharomycodaceae.